CCAGACUCCUACGGGAGGCAGCAGUGGGGAAUAUUGCACAAUGGGGGAAACCCUGAUGCAGCGACGCCGCGUGAGUGAAGAAGUAUUUCGGUAUGUAAAGCUCUAUCAGCAGGGAAGAUAAUGACAGUACCUGACUAAGAAGCCCCGGCUAACUACGUGCCAGCAGCCGCGGUAAUACGUAGGGGGCAAGCGUUAUCCGGAUUUACUGGGUGUAAAGGGUGCGUAGGUGGCAGGGCAAGUCAGAUGUGAAAGCCCGGGGCUCAACCCCGGUACUGCAUUUGAAACUGUCCAGCUGGAGUGCAGGAGAGGUAAGCGGAAUUCCUAGUGUAGCGGUGAAAUGCGUAGAUAUUAGGAGGAACACCAGUGGCGAAGGCGGCAUACUGGACUGUAACUGACACUGAGGCACGAAAGCGUGGGGAGCAAACAGGAUUAGAUACCCGCGUAC
RNAcentral lists this ribosomal RNA (445 nucleotides) under uncultured bacterium. Its description in RNAcentral is "bacterial SSU rRNA". It matches the Rfam family "Bacterial small subunit ribosomal RNA", at positions 331 to 793 of the family's 1533-position model. The record is from RNAcentral.